This 480-nucleotide ribosomal RNA is filed under the name uncultured bacterium. RNAcentral's name for it is "bacterial SSU rRNA". It matches the Rfam family "Bacterial small subunit ribosomal RNA", at positions 28 to 507 of the family's 1533-position model. The record is from RNAcentral.
GAUGAACGCUAGCGGCAGGCCUAACACAUGCAAGUCGAGGGGUAGAACACUUCGGUGUUUGAGACCGGCGCACGGGUGCGUAACGCGUAUGCAAUCUACCUUGUACAGGGGAAUAGCCCAGAGAAAUUUGGAUUAAUGCCCCCAUAGUAUAUAACCUUCGCAUGUUGGUUACUAUUAAAGUUCCAACGGUACAAGAUGAGCAUGCGUCCCAUUAGUUAGUUGGUAAGGUAACGGCUUACCAAGACGAUGAUGGGUAGGGGUCCUGAGAGGGAGAUCCCCCACACUGGUACUGAGACACGGACCAGACUCCUACGGGAGGCAGCAGUGAGGAAUAUUGGUCAAUGGUCGCAAGACUGAACCAGCCGUGCCGCGUGCAGGAAGACGGUCCUAUGGAUUGUAAACUGCUUUUAUACAGGAAGAAACCCUCCCACGUGUGGGAGCUUGACGGUACUGUAGGAAUAAGGAUCGGCUAACUCCGUG